AUUGAACGCUGGCGGAAUGCUUUACACAUGCAAGUCGAACGGUAGAGGGGGCAACCCCCUUGAGAGUGGCGAACGGGUGAGUAAUAUAUCGGAACGUGCCCAGUCGUGGGGAUAACGUAGCGAAAGUUACGCUAAUACCGCAUACGAUCUAAGGAUGAAAGCGGGGGAUCGCAAGACCUCGCGCGAUUGGAGCGGCCGAUAUCAGAUUAGGUAGUUGGUGGGGUAAAGGCUCACCAAGCCAACGAUCUGUAGCUGGUCUGAGAGGACGACCAGCCACACUGGAACUGAGACACGGUCCAGACUCCUACGGGAGGCAGCAGUGGGGGAAUUUUGGACAAUGGACGCAAGUCUGAUCCAGCCAUUCCGCGUGCAGGAUGAAGGCCCUCGGGUUGUAAACUGCUUUUGUACGGAACGAAAAGGUUUCUCUUAAUACGAGGAGCUCAUGACGGUACCGUAAGAAUAAGCACCGGCUAACUACGUGCCAGCAGCCGCGGU
RNAcentral lists this ribosomal RNA (495 nucleotides) under uncultured bacterium. Its description in RNAcentral is "bacterial SSU rRNA". It matches the Rfam family "Bacterial small subunit ribosomal RNA", at positions 30 to 521 of the family's 1533-position model. The record is from RNAcentral.